UACGAAGGGGGCUAGCGUUGUUCGGAAUCACUGGGCGUAAAGCGCACGCAGGCGGAUCGUUAAGUCAGGGGUGAAAUGCCGAGGCUCAACCUCGGAACUGCCUUUGAUACUGGCGAUCUUAGAGUCCGGGAGAGGUGAGUGGAAUUCCUAGUGUAGAGGUGAAAUUCGUAGAUAUUAGGAAGAACACCAGUGGCGAAGGCGGCUCACUGGCCCGGUACUGACGCUGAGGCGCGAAAGCGUGGGGAGCAAACAGG
Molecule: ribosomal RNA, 254 nt
Filed under: uncultured bacterium
Lineage: Bacteria
Description: partial 16S ribosomal RNA
Rfam family: Bacterial small subunit ribosomal RNA
Source: RNAcentral